AGCAGUGUGGCCUAGUGGAGAGAGCACAGGCCUGGGAGUCAGAAGGACCUGGGUUCCAAUCCUGGCUCUGCUA
This 73-nucleotide transfer RNA is filed under the name Ornithorhynchus anatinus (platypus). It matches the Rfam family "tRNA". From Rfam's summary of the family: Transfer RNA (tRNA) molecules are approximately 80 nucleotides in length. Their secondary structure includes four short double-helical elements and three loops (D, anti-codon, and T loops). Lineage: Eukaryota; Metazoa; Chordata; Mammalia; Monotremata; Ornithorhynchidae. The record is from Rfam by way of RNAcentral.